UACAUGCUAGUGUAAAGCACGAAAAAUUUUGAUUUUUUAAGUUUAGGUGAGGGUCCUUUGCAUGUAA
This 67-nucleotide transfer RNA is filed under the name Neopetrolisthes maculatus (porcelain anemone crab). RNAcentral describes it as "tRNA-Gln". The record is from RNAcentral. Lineage: Eukaryota; Metazoa; Arthropoda; Malacostraca; Decapoda; Porcellanidae.